This 468-nucleotide ribosomal RNA is filed under the name uncultured bacterium. Its description in RNAcentral is "partial 16S ribosomal RNA". It matches the Rfam family "Bacterial small subunit ribosomal RNA", at positions 28 to 507 of the family's 1533-position model. The record is from RNAcentral.
GACGAACGCUGGCGGCGUGCUUAACACAUGCAAGUCGAACGGAAAGGCCCUGCUUUUGUGGGGUGCUCGAGUGGCGAACGGGUGAGUAACACGUGAGUAACCUGCCCUUGACUUUGGGAUAACUUCAGGAAACUGGGGCUAAUACCGGAUAGGAGCUCCUGCUGCAUGGUGGGGGUUGGAAAGUUUCGGCGGUUGGGGAUGGACUCGCGGCUUAUCAGCUUGUUGGUGGGGUAGUGGCUUACCAAGGCUUUGACGGGUAGCCGGCCUGAGAGGGUGACCGGCCACAUUGGGACUGAGAUACGGACCAGACUCCUACGGGAGGCAGCAGUGGGGAAUAUUGCACAAUGGGCGGAAGCCUGAUGCAGCAACGCCGCGUGCGGGAUGACGGCCUUCGGGUUGUAAACCGCUUUCGCCUGUGACGAAGCGUGAGUGACGGUAAUGGGUAAACAAGCACCGGCUAACUACGUG